Molecule: ribosomal RNA, 277 nt
Filed under: uncultured prokaryote
Description: partial 16S ribosomal RNA
Rfam family: Bacterial small subunit ribosomal RNA
Source: RNAcentral
UACGUAGGGGGCUAGCGUUAUCCGGAAUUACUGGGCGUAAAGGGUGCGUAGGUGGUUUCUUAAGUCAGAGGUGAAAGGCUACGGCUCAACCGUAGUAAGCCUUUGAAACUGGGAAACUUGAGUGCAGGAGAGGAGAGUGGAAUUCCUAGUGUAGCGGUGAAAUGCGUAGAUAUUAGGAGGAACACCAGUUGCGAAGGCGGCUCUCUGGACUGUAACUGACGCUGAGGCACGAAAGCGUGGGGAGCAAACAGGAUUAGAUACCCGCGUAGUCCCUGAG